Molecule: ribosomal RNA, 253 nt
Filed under: uncultured bacterium
Lineage: Bacteria
Description: partial 16S ribosomal RNA
Rfam family: Bacterial small subunit ribosomal RNA
Source: RNAcentral
UAUGUAGGGGGCGAGCGUUGUCCGGAAUCAUUGGGCGUAAAGCGCGUGUAGGCGGCUCGGUAAGUCCGGUGUGAAACCUUGGGGCUCAACCCCAAGCCUGCACUGGAUACUGUCGAGCUUGAGUCCGGGAGGGGAGAGCGGAAUUCCUAGUGUAGCGGUGAAAUGCGCAGAUAUUAGGAAGAACACCGGUGGCGAAGGCGGCUCUCUGGAACGGUACUGACGCUGAGACGCGAAAGCGUGGGGAGCGAACAGG